ACGGAAGGCAGCAGUGGGGAAUAUUGGACAAUGGGGGAAACCCUGAUCCAGCGACGCCGCGUGAGUGAAGAAGUAUUUCGGUAUGUAAAGCUCUAUCAGCAAGGAAGAAAUUGACGGUACUUGACUAAGGAGCUCCGGCUAAAUACGUGCCAGCAGCCGCGGUAAUACGUAUGGAGCAAGCGUUAUCCGGAUUUACUGGGUGUAAAGGGAGCGUAGACGGCAAAGCAAGUCUGAAGUGAAAUCCCGGGGCUCAACCCCGGAACUGCUUUGGAAACUGUUUAGCUAGAGUGCAGGAGAGGUAAGCGGAAUUCCUAGUGUAGCGGUGAAAUGCGUAGAUAUUAGGAGGAACACCAGUGGCGAAGGCGGCUUACUGGACUGUAGCUGACGUUGAGGCUCGAAAGCGUGGGGAGCAAACAGGAUUAGAUACCCUGGUA
Molecule: ribosomal RNA, 434 nt
Filed under: uncultured Lachnospiraceae bacterium
Lineage: Bacteria; Bacillati; Bacillota; Clostridia; Lachnospirales; Lachnospiraceae
Description: partial 16S ribosomal RNA
Rfam family: Bacterial small subunit ribosomal RNA
Source: RNAcentral